This 806-nucleotide ribosomal RNA is filed under the name uncultured fungus. RNAcentral describes it as "eukaryotic LSU rRNA". It matches the Rfam family "Eukaryotic large subunit ribosomal RNA", at positions 30 to 821 of the family's 3401-position model. The record is from RNAcentral. Lineage: Eukaryota; Fungi.
GAACUUAAGCAUAUCAAUAAGCGGAGGAAAAGAAACUAACAAGGAUUCCCCUAGUAACUGCGAGUGAAGCGGGAAAAGCUCAAAUUUAAAAUCUGGCGUGCCUCUGGUCGUCCGAGUUGUAGUUUAGAGAAGCGUUUUCUGUGUUGGACCGUGUAUAAGUCUCUUGGAACAGAGCGUCAUAGAGGGUGAGAAUCCCGUCUUUGACACGGACUACCAAUGCUUUGUGAUACGCUCUCAAAGAGUCGAGUUGUUUGGGAAUGCAGCUCAAAAUGGGUGGUAAAUUCCAUCUAAAGCUAAAUAUAGGCGAGAGACCGAUAGCGAACAAGUACCGUGAGGGAAAGAUGAAAAGCACUUUGGAAAGAGAGUUAAACAGUACGUGAAAUUGCUGAAAGGGAAACGCUUGAAGUCAGUCGCGUCUGCCAGGACUCAGCCUUGCUUCUGCUUGGUGUACUUUCUGGUUGGAUGGGCCAACAUCGAUUUCGACCGUUGGAGAAAGGCUUUGGGAAUGUGGCACCUUCGGGUGUGUUAUAGCCCUUUGUCGUAUACAACGGUUGGGAUCGAGGACUGCAGCAUGCCUUCAUGGCCGGGGUUCGCCCACGUACAUGCUUAGGAUGUUGGCAUAAUGGCUUUAAGCGACCCGUCUUGAAACACGGACCAAGGAGUCUAACAUGCCUGCGAGUGUUUGGGUGGAAAACCCAUGCGCGUAAUGAAAGUGAUAGCUGAGAUCCUCUCAUCAGGAGCAUCAGCGCCUGGACUUGAUCUACGGAGACGGUUCUACGGUAGAGCAUGUAUGUUGGGACCCGAAA